UCUGUAAGAAGAAGAAACUAUGACCUGCACGGCUGUGCUGCUCCUCCUCCCUGACGAAAUCAGUGGCUAUACCCAGAGAAGAAGAAAUCGGUGGACGACGGGGUGGCUACUCCUCCUCCCUGACACAGUGGAUGACGCAGUGGCUGCUCUUCCUCCCUAACGUGGUGUUCCUCCUCCUGAUGUAGUGGACAACACGGUGGCUGCUCCUCCUCCCUAACUUGGUGGAUGAAAUCGGUGGUUGCUCUUCCUCCCUGAUGCGAAACUGAUUCAAAGCAUUAGAGGAAUUUAGAGAAUUUGCUUGUGACAUUCAAACUUCCCUGGAUAAAGAUGAAUUAGAGAUUUAUCUAAAGAAAGGUUUGAUUCACACCAAUGAAGAUGAUUUAAAGUAUGAUGUAUGUGUUGAAUUUCGGAAGAAUAAUGAGGAUAGAUUUUCAACCCUGUCAGUUAUGGCCAGAGAUGUUUUAAGUAUUCCUAUCACUAUGGUAGCAUCUGAAUCUGCAUUUAGUAUUGGUGGAUGCAUUUUAACAAAAUACAGAGGUUGCACCUUUCAUGAGCACGUCCAAAUGCUUAUUUGCACAAGGAGUUGGAAUCUCUAUUCAGAGCUCUUCUAAUUGCCGUCACGAACUGCUCCUCCUUGGCCGUCGUCUCCUUGUUGUAACGAGCUCUGUUCUUGGCAUCUUUAUGAGGUCACUGUCAGCACCGUGUUCCUCCGAGCUCACACUCUCUCUGAGCUCACUCUGCCACCGCCAUUCCUCCCUCGACGUCUCACUGUUGAAGCACAGUUGAAUCAUUUGAACUUCUAAACCAAUGAAUCAGUAGCUCGAGCGAUUUGAUGAUCGGUUCGAUUUUUAGAACCUUGUAAUUUAAUGUCCAAUUUAUUUUUUAAAAUCUUAUUUAUAUGGAAUUUGAGGCUUUAGUUAGUAUUGUUAUUUUAAUUUGUGCAUUUUUAAGAUUUAUAUUAGAUUGUAUUUAUAUUUUUUUAUGUUUGUUUAUAACUUAUAUAUUAUAUUUUUAUAAUUUGGUUAUUUUGGUUGAACCACGAU
This is a long non-coding RNA of Arachis duranensis, 1043 nucleotides long. RefSeq lists it as uncharacterized. Lineage: Eukaryota; Viridiplantae; Streptophyta; Magnoliopsida; Fabales; Fabaceae. The record is from RefSeq and is a predicted model, not a curated record. The transcript is spliced from 3 exons.